This 307-nucleotide long non-coding RNA is filed under the name Gallus gallus (chicken). The record is from RNAcentral. Lineage: Eukaryota; Metazoa; Chordata; Aves; Galliformes; Phasianidae.
CAAAACCAAGAAGAUGGAAAACUGGUUAAAUGGAAAAGUCAGUGUCUUCUUUAUGGACCAGGGUCCCCUGUUUUCCGUUUCCAGAGGUGCAGAUUUUGUGAAGUCCCUCCACCUCACUAGUCAUGGAACUGGUCCGAACCAGCCCGUAAACCGUUGACAUUAUACAAAUGAAAAACCAGAAAAUUUUCAAUAAUACCAGACACGGUCUUCUGCUACUGAAGUUGAAGACACCAUCAAUGAACUCUGAAUUCUCUUAGACUAAACCAGACACAGGUAUGAAUUCAGUACAAUUUGAGGAAAAGUGAAC